UUAGUUGUUCACAUUUCUGAUAAACAGAAAUUUGUAUCCAGUUUUGCGUUUUGUCAUGAGGCUCUAAGACUCUUUUAGUGACCCUCUCAGUUCUGUUUUUUCGUCUAAAAGUUGUAAUAUUUGAAUGGCCACCUGCUAAUCUGGGGUGGAGCUAAAAAAUCCGAAAGCUUACAUCAGUCAGUCUUUAUUAUGUGAAAGAGAAACACAGCUUAUAUCCAUUUUCACCUACUGGUAUCUGUUGUGAGAUGAAGGGGGACUGGGUGUGUGGAGUGGCCUCUGGCUGUUGUGCAGCUAUGGCAGCUUUCAGUCUCAAGUGCAGUGGCAAUACUAUCCGUUCUACCUGGGAACAACUCGCGCAGACUUUUGGGUCCAAUGAAAAAACUGACCUUGUUGGGAAUUUGAACGGAGAAAAAAUAAUGCUGCUCGUGCAAAAGAUAUUGACAGUUUGUGUUCUGCUGUCGCCUGCAAUCAUUUUCAAUGUUUUGAUGACGUAUUUAAUGGCCCGAAGUUUUGCCCUUUCUCCUUCUACCCUCGUGCCCAUGGCCACCAACUUGGCUGCCAAUCUCUUACUUACGGGAACCCUGGGCUGCUUGGCGUUUGGAGAGAUAGUGGGAGUUAAUUGGUGCCUUGGCGUUUUCCUUAUCAUCUGCGGAGUGAUAUUGUUCAAC
Molecule: long non-coding RNA, 668 nt
Organism: Symsagittifera roscoffensis
Lineage: Eukaryota; Metazoa; Xenacoelomorpha; Acoela; Convolutidae
Exons: 3
Source: RefSeq, a predicted model, not a curated record